Molecule: ribosomal RNA, 449 nt
Filed under: uncultured bacterium
Lineage: Bacteria
Description: partial 16S ribosomal RNA
Rfam family: Bacterial small subunit ribosomal RNA
Source: RNAcentral
AUUGAACGCUGGCGGCAUGCCUAACACAUGCAAGUCGAACGAGACCUUCGGGUCUAGUGGCGCACGGGUGCGUAACGCGUGGGAAUCUGCCCUUGGGUUCGGGAUAACAGUUGGAAACGACUGCUAAUACCGGAUGAUGACUUCGGUCCAAAGAUUUAUCGCCCAAGGAUGAGCCCGCGUAAGAUUAGCUUGUUGGUGAGGUAAAGGCUCACCAAGGCGACGAUCUUUAGCUGGUCUGAGAGGAUGAUCAGCCACACUGGGACUGAGACACGGCCCAGACUCCUACGGGAGGCAGCAGUGGGGAAUAUUGGACAAUGGGCGAAAGCCUGAUCCAGCAAUGCCGCGUGAGUGAUGAAGGCCUUAGGGUUGUAAAGCUCUUUUACCCGGAAUGAUAAUGACAGUACCGGGAGAAUAAGCCCCGGCUAACUCCGUGCCAGCAGCCGCCGUAA